Molecule: ribosomal RNA, 301 nt
Filed under: uncultured bacterium
Lineage: Bacteria
Description: partial 16S ribosomal RNA
Rfam family: Bacterial small subunit ribosomal RNA
Source: RNAcentral
CAGCAGCCGCGGUAAUACGUAGGGUGCGAGCGUUAAUCGGAAUUACUGGGCGUAAAGCGUGCGCAGGCGGUUGUGUAAGACAGGUGUGAAAUCCCCGAGCUUAACCUGGGAACUGCGCUUGUGACUGCACAGCUAGAGUAUGGCAGAGGGGGGUGGAAUUCCACGUGUAGCAGUGAAAUGCGUAGAGAUGUGGAGGAACACCGAUGGCGAAGGCAGCCCCCUGGGCCAAUACUGACGCUCAUGCACGAAAGCGUGGGGAGCAAACAGGAUUAGAUACCCGCGUAGUCCCUGUCUCUUAUAC